GACGAACGCUGGCGGCGUGCUUAACACAUGCAAGUCGAACGGAAAGGCCCUGCUUUUGUGGGGUGCUCGAGUGGCGAACGGGUGAGUAACACGUGAGUAACCUGCCCUUGACUUUGGGAUAACUUCAGGAAACUGGGGCUAAUACCGGAUAGGAGCUCCUGCUGCAUGGUGGGGGGUGGAAAGUUUCGGCGGUUGGGGAUGGACUCGCGGCUUAUCAGCUUGUUGGUGGGGUGGUGGCUUACCAAGGCUUUGCCGGGUAGCCGGCCGGAGAGGGUGACCGGCCACAUUGGGACUGAGAUACGGCCCAGACUCCUACGGGAGGCAGCAGUGGGGAAUAUUGCACAAUGGGCGGAAGCCUGAUGCAGCAACGCCGCGUGCGGGAUGACGGCCUUCGGGUUGUAAACCGCUUUCGCCUGUGACGAAGCGUGAGUGACGGUAAUGGGUAAAGAAGCACCGGCUAACUACGUG
This 468-nucleotide ribosomal RNA is filed under the name uncultured bacterium. Its description in RNAcentral is "partial 16S ribosomal RNA". It matches the Rfam family "Bacterial small subunit ribosomal RNA", at positions 28 to 507 of the family's 1533-position model. The record is from RNAcentral.